This 439-nucleotide ribosomal RNA is filed under the name uncultured bacterium. RNAcentral's name for it is "partial 16S ribosomal RNA". It matches the Rfam family "Bacterial small subunit ribosomal RNA", at positions 339 to 795 of the family's 1533-position model. The record is from RNAcentral.
CUACGGGGCGCUGCAGUGGGGAAUAUUGCACAAUGGGGGAAACCCUGAUGCAGCAACGCCGCGUGGAGGAUGACGCAUUUCGGUGUGUAAACUCCUUUUAUAUAGGAAGAUAAUGACGGUACUAUAUGAAUAAGCACCGGCUAACUCCGUGCCAGCGGCCGCGGUAAUACGGAGGGUGCAAGCGUUACUCGGAAUCACUGGGCGUAAAGCGCGCGCAGGCGGCCUUUUAAGUUGGAUGUGAAAGCCUAUGGCUUAACCAUAGAACUGCAUCCAAAACUAUCAGGCUAGAGUCUGGGAGGGGAAGAUGGAAUUAGUUGUGUAGGGGUAAAAUCCGUAGAGAUAACUAGGAAUACCAAAAGCGAAGGCGAUCUUCUGGAACAGUACUGACGCUGAGGCGCGAAAGCGUGGGGAGCAAACAGGAUUAGAUACCCUUGUAGUC